ACUCCUACGGGAGGCAGCAGUAGGUAAUCUUCGGCAAUGGACGAAAGUCUGACCGAGCAACGCCGCGUGAGUGAAGAAGGUUUUCGGAUCGUAAAACUCUGUUGUUAGAGAAGAACAAGGAUGAGAGUAACAGUUCAUCCCUUGACGG
RNAcentral lists this ribosomal RNA (148 nucleotides) under uncultured Enterococcus sp. RNAcentral describes it as "partial 16S ribosomal RNA". It matches the Rfam family "Bacterial small subunit ribosomal RNA", at positions 335 to 475 of the family's 1533-position model. Lineage: Bacteria; Bacillati; Bacillota; Bacilli; Lactobacillales; Enterococcaceae. The record is from RNAcentral.